AGAGCGAACGCUGGCGGCAGGCCUAAUACAUGCAAGUCGAGCGGCCACUUCGGUGGCAGCGGCGGACGGGUGAGUAACGCGUGGGAAUGUGCCCUUUGGUACGGAACAACUGAGGGAAACUUCAGCUAAUACCGUAUGUGCCCUUCGGGGGAAAGAUUUAUUGCCAUUGGAGCAGCCCGCGUUGGAUUAGCUAGUUGGUGGGGUAAAGCCCACCAAGGCGACGAUCCAUAGCUGGUCUGAGAGGAUGAUCAGCCACACUGGGACUGAGACACGGCCCAGACUCCUACGGGAGGCAGCAGUAGGGAAUCUUGCGCAAUGGGCGAAAGCCUGACGCAGCCAUGCCGCGUGAAUGAUGAAGGUCUUAGGAUUGUAAAAUUCUUUCACCGGGAAGAUAAUGACGGUACCCGAGAAGAAGCCCCGGACUAACUCGUGCCAGCAGCCGC
Molecule: ribosomal RNA, 443 nt
Filed under: uncultured soil bacterium
Lineage: Bacteria
Description: bacterial SSU rRNA
Rfam family: Bacterial small subunit ribosomal RNA
Source: RNAcentral